The sequence is a small RNA, 88 nucleotides long. It matches the Rfam family "Flavo-1 RNA".
GCCUAGCCCCGAUUGAAGCAAUUGUUUGAGCUCCUUUUUAUUUUUCUUUAAAAAAUAAAAAGAGCGAGUGCGGAAAGCGGGAAAUAGC